UACGGGGGGGGCAAGCGUUGUUCGGAAUUACUGGGCGUAAAGGGUGCGUAGGCGGCGCGGUAAGUCGGGUGUGAAAUCUCGGAGCUUAACUCCGAAACUGCAUUCGAUACUGCCGUGCUUGAGGACUGGAGAGGAGACUGGAAUUUACGGUGUAGCGGUGAAAUGCGUAGAUAUCGUAAGGAAGACCAGUGGCGAAGGCGGGUCUCUGGACAGUUCCUGACGCUGAGGCACGAAGGCCAGGGGAGCAAACGGG
RNAcentral lists this ribosomal RNA (253 nucleotides) under uncultured bacterium. RNAcentral describes it as "partial 16S ribosomal RNA". It matches the Rfam family "Bacterial small subunit ribosomal RNA", at positions 524 to 776 of the family's 1533-position model. The record is from RNAcentral.